UUGAACGCUGGCGGCAUGCCUUACACAUGCAAGUCGAACGGCAGCGCGGGAGCAAUCCUGGCGGCGAGUGGCGAACGGGUGAGUAAUACAUCGGAACGUGCCCAAUCGUGGGGGAUAACGCAGCGAAAGCUGUGCUAAUACCGCAUACGAUCUACGGAUGAAAGCAGGGGAUCGCAAGACCUUGCGCGAAUGGAGCGGCCGAUGGCAGAUUAGGUAGUUGGUGAGGUAAAGGCUCACCAAGCCUUCGAUCUGUAGCUG
RNAcentral lists this ribosomal RNA (258 nucleotides) under Variovorax sp. ISO170_OTU223. RNAcentral's name for it is "partial 16S ribosomal RNA". It matches the Rfam family "Bacterial small subunit ribosomal RNA", at positions 30 to 289 of the family's 1533-position model. The record is from RNAcentral. RNAcentral also lists the same sequence under 4 other names. Lineage: Bacteria; Pseudomonadati; Pseudomonadota; Betaproteobacteria; Burkholderiales; Comamonadaceae.